Molecule: ribosomal RNA, 318 nt
Filed under: Triticum aestivum (bread wheat)
Lineage: Eukaryota; Viridiplantae; Streptophyta; Magnoliopsida; Poales; Poaceae
Description: partial small subunit ribosomal RNA
Source: RNAcentral
AUGGAUCUUGACGUCAUGCUUCACGCUUCCGCCGACACCGCCCUCACCGCCUACUCCGAUGCAGACUGGGCGGGCUGCCCUGACACUCGUCGCUCCACUUUGGGCUAUUGUGUCUACCUUGGCCCCUCACUCAUCUCGUGGUUGUCCAAGCGGCAGCCUACGGUUGCCCUUGGCCAUAUUCAUGUUUUACACAUCCCCACUUCCCAACAAUUUGCAGAUAUCAUGACCAAGGGCCUGCCUACGGCAUCAUUUGAGGAGUUCCGGUCCAGUCUUUGCGUCAGCCGCGGUGCCGCUUCGACUGGGGGGGGGGGGUGUUGA